AGUGAACGCUGGCGGCGUGCCUAAUACAUGCAAGUCGAACGAGCGGGCACGGGUGAGUAAUGUAUAGCUAAUCUCCCUCCACUAGAGACCACAGUUGCAAACGGCUGCUAAACUCCUGUAGGUUGGGGCUAUAUUGUAUUAGCUAGUUGGUGAGGUAAUUGCCCACCAAGGCUAUCACGCCUAACUGGUCUGAGAGGAUGAUCAGUCACACUGGAACUGAGACACGGUCCAGACUCCUACGGGAGGCAGCAGUAGGGAAUCUUCUGCAAUUGGCGAAAGUCUGAUCCAGCAACGCCGCGUGAAUGAAGAAGGCUUUCGGGUCGUAAAACUCUUUUGUUCGGGAAGCGGUAUCUACACAGAAAGCCACGGCUAACUACGUGCCAGCAGCCGCGGUAAUAC
Molecule: ribosomal RNA, 399 nt
Filed under: uncultured bacterium
Lineage: Bacteria
Description: partial 16S ribosomal RNA
Rfam family: Bacterial small subunit ribosomal RNA
Source: RNAcentral